GGUAGGAGGGUCUGUGGAGGUGAAGCCUGUCCCCCUGAAGUAGCAGCCAAGGGUUCCUGGAUGGGAGGAGGCUUUUGUCCUCCAUGAGACUCCAGUAAAGUGUCUUAGGUGCUCACUUGGCUGGGGUAGGGAAAUUGGAAAGGAGGACUGGAGAGUGAUGGAGACUACAGAAAUUCUGGGGCUGUAGGCCCUGCGCAGCUGUGCAUCUUGGCUCUUCCCACUCAGAACCACGGCGCCCAGCUCCAGAUGUUGAGUCUUUUCGAACCCCAGCCCAUGCAGCCAGCAUGACUCAGGAAGAGGAGGUGGGAUUACAAAGAUCCAGGGACCAAGUGGAUAGCAACAAAUUCAACCCCAGGUCCUUCUUCCGUGUGGCUGGAGGAGCAACGGCACAAGCCAGUCUUGGCGUGGGACAGAAAACUCCUUUGCCUGUGGGACAUUAGUAGGAAACACUGAGAAUCCAGCCGGAGCUGUGCCACUCAGAGCAGGCCUGGUUUUUCCAGAAAAGCAACUCGACUGAAAGUUAAUUAAAAAAUGUAUUUAGUAAACAGUGAGGGGGUGGAGGAGAACCCCAAGGAACCAAGAUUUGAGAAAUAAAUGCUGCUUUAUAGAAACAGAGACAAUUAUCAUUGGUCUUGGAGGCACAGCGAAAUAGACAGGAGGCUCAUCAAGAGAGGAGACAGAAUGAAUUAGUAACAUCUCCAUGACAAUUAAAGAGAUAGCGCCCCAGAGUUGCAUCAUGAUCCAAGGCAUCUGUGGUGUCACCAGACCCGGCAGCUGUGCAUGGAGCCAUCAGACCGCUGCUCCUCUGGAGUCUGUCCGGAGGAAGUAACUCACUUUGGAGAGAGGCCAGGGCCAGUGAGGUGUUGGUUGCACCCCUGGUUUCCCACAGCCCUGCCACUGCUGUUUGUCACAGCAAAAGAAAAAAAAAAAGAGUAUGCGCUGUCUUAAAAGUCGCUCUGUGGGGAACUAAGUUAAUGCCAGCCUGCGGGAUCUUCACAACCGAGUAGAUGCUAAAACGAUGUUUAGAGACAUUAAGGAAAUCCGCAUGAUAAUGGCCAAUUUACUGUGAAUAAAGCCAGAAUGCAA
Molecule: long non-coding RNA, 1086 nt
Organism: Mesocricetus auratus (golden hamster)
Lineage: Eukaryota; Metazoa; Chordata; Mammalia; Rodentia; Cricetidae
Exons: 2
Source: RefSeq, a predicted model, not a curated record